This 487-nucleotide ribosomal RNA is filed under the name uncultured bacterium. RNAcentral's name for it is "bacterial SSU rRNA". It matches the Rfam family "Bacterial small subunit ribosomal RNA", at positions 15 to 507 of the family's 1533-position model. The record is from RNAcentral.
GAUCCUGGCUCAGAAUGAACGUUGGCGGCGUGGAUUAGGCAUGCAAGUCGUACGCAUAGCUUCGGCUAUGAGUGGCGCAAGGGUGAGUAAUGCGAAGGUAACCAACCCUGGUGUUGGGCAUAGCCGCGGGAAACUGCGGGUAAUUCCCAGCGACGUCACGAGAUGGCAUCAUCUUGUGACCAAAGGUGUGAUUCCGCUCUAGGACGGGCCUUCGUGGUAUUAGGUAGUUGGUGAGGUAACGGCUCACCAAGCCGACGAUGCCUACCGGGUGUGAGAGCAUGACCCGGCACACUGGAACUGAGACACUGUCCAGACACCUACGGGUGGCUGCAGUCGAGAAUCUUCGGCAAUGGGCGAAAGCCUGACCGAGCGACGCCGCGUGAGGGAUUGAAGGCCUUCGGGUUGUAAACCUCUUUCGUAGAGGAGGAAGGGGCCGUGAAGAACGGUCUUUGACCUAUUCUAGGAAGAAGCUUGGGCUAAGUUCGUG